GGUCAUGUUGUCAAAGGUGGCCUUGUACAGGCUGCGGAAGCCAUCAUCUGCACCAGCAGAGCCUAUGACAAGGACAAGAAGAGAUGCCAGGUGAAGUGACUGGGAACAUGGCCCAGGGGCCAGACCUAUUUCCUCUCACAGUCAGCUGCAGGUCCUGAACCAAGGGGAGCACAGAAGUGAGGCCUAAAUCCUGCAGCCACCUCCUGAGUGGGAAUGGACCCUGCCCAAGGGGAACCUAAGACCAGCCAGGGUCAGUCAACACCAGUGGAUGGCAGGUGGUCUACGGAGGCCACAGGCUCCAGCGAGCCAUGGCUCUGGGUGGCAACACUGCAGGAGGCUUCCUUGAGUGUUAAGCUCUGGUACUACGGGCAGAGCCCCUCAGCCAGUCUCACCCUGGUGAGGUACAUGCCAAGGACAACCAGCUGCAUGCUACAGAGUGUCCUUAGGUCACCCUACCCUGCAGGUGGGUGUGGUCCCCGACCUCCAGCAGCCAAGGCUCAGGAUGCACAGGCUAGUGUGGUGCUCCUCCCCGCCCUAUCCACAUGUGCUCAUCUGUGUGUGGAGCGUCUGUGAAGACAGACUUUGAUCUGAGUCUGCACAGGUAACCCUCAACGACCGGACUGAGCAAGGCCCAGAAGACCCAGAGGGGCUGGCCGGGCAGAGCAUGAGGAAGUACAGUGGGAGGCCAACAGAAUGGCUCAGGAGGGAAAGGAUCCUGCGCCAAGCCUGACAGCCUGAGUUUCAGCCCACAUUCUGCAGAGGCUGUCUCUGACACAUGCUGCAGUCAGAAGUCCAGGGGUGAGCAGCUGCAGGCCCAGACUGCUAACACAGCCUGGGCCACAGGACACACUGCAGUCAGUUCAGAGUGAGCAGCCUGUCCUGCCUGCCACACUUCUUUCAAUUCAACACAAGCCAGUCAGGCUCCAAGAUGGGCUCUCAGUUGAGAAAACGCCCACUGGACGGCCCUGUGGCGAGUGAGCCUGCAGGCUUCAGAGGGCACAGCCCUGGAAGUCUAGGAACACUAGUUUCUAAGAAUUGGCUUUGCAACAUCUUUUCUGAGUAAUCCUUUGUUUCAUAAAGACUGGGUCUGGGUGGUUCUGCGUGGAUGAGCAUCCUCUGGCCAGGAAAUACAACAGAGGACACCCCAAGCAGCAGCUGAGUGCUGGACUUCGAGUCCUAUUCUCAGGUCUUCUCACUGCACUCGCAGUAGCAGAGCUUAGAUGUAUUAUACACCUAACAGAGUUCUCACCUUCCAGCAUGGCCCAGCUCUCACGGAGAUGGCUGCAGAGUCUCUGGGACACAGCAUCGUCAGGAGCAGCCUGCAGGUGACAAGUCAGCCGGGUCUCAGAGCAGGCAGAGGCCUGGCAGGGACACCCCCGGGCACAGGCACCUCCAAGAAGCUCUCCAGAGUUCCCAGUGCUGUUCUACCCCACCCAAAGCCUUAUGGGAUUGGCUGGGAUGUCCCCCAGUGCUCCCCUGCACAUCAGUACUCAGCAGGGCCCCGGGCACAGGGCCUGCACACCCACGAGGCCUAGCGCUGCCUUCAGCAGUGUGGGAUGAGAUGGGGUCGGGACCCAUCACUGAUGGCAACUCAACCUCCUGUACACAGGAACCGGUAAGUACCCAAGCCAGGGCAGACAAGCUGCCUCAGGGUAGAUUCAGCCUUGGGACCUGCUGUGAUCAAGCAGAAGAGGUUCAAGGCUGUGAGGAAAUCUCAUCUACACCCUGCCGCUCCCACCAGGACAACAGGCUCAGAACACGGAGAUGCUGCAUGCUCUCACCUGCCACUCGCUGCCCAUGGGCCUCCAGAGCGCCAGAGGGGCAUCACGGCAGUCCUGCAGAACCCACAGGCCCCGAGUCUCCUCAAAUACAACAUCCCACACCCGGUGAGGGAAAGUCAGCCGCUGUCUGAACACCAGCUGCUGUCUGCUGGCAUCAAGUUGGAAGACGAAGCCCACAGGGACACUGUCCAGGAGAGAGAGAGAGACAGGUCACCACCACAGCAGCACGUGACAUCCAAGCCCUAGGCCUGCCUCUACGACCUUGAAGACGCUGAGUCACCCAAACCCUGGGGGAUGGUACGUGUUUGUGGUCUGAGUUCUGGGGCAACUUGCUUUAUAGCAAGAACUAAUACAGGACAAAUGAGAUGGCCACCCACACGGUUCUAAGUGUACAUGUAAGUGUUUCUCAACCUCUGGGUCGUGAUCCCUGGAGGUAGCAAAUGACCCUUUUUACAAGGGUCACCUGAUACCAUGGGCAAACACACGUUUACAAUUCUUAACAGUAGCAAAGUUACAGUUAUAAAGUAGCAACAAAAGUAACUAUGGUUGGGGGUCACCACAGGUGUGGACAGAAGGCCAGGUUCUCUCCUCUGCAAACCUGUACUAUUCUAACGUCUAAGGAAAGAGCAUCCCCAAGCUUCACAGGAGAGCAUGCAGGGCAGCAGAGGGAGCCCCUCGAUUAUACCCAGCCCCCCAAUCUGCCCCAUAGGUGCUAACUCGUCACCGACAGUGAAACCUGUUCUUACCACUCACACAGAAGCACCACAUAGCUCUCCCGUCCCCAGAAUGCAAUCCUGGAUGCAGCCAACCCCUGCAGAGGAAGCAGCUGAUUAGCCAGGCCACCUGUGCUUCCUUCUCAGUGGAGCAAAAGAGCACGGGCACCACGGAUCCCGUAUGAUGCCCACGCAGGGUUAGAGUACACCAAAACACUCUGGAAUCAACAGGAGGGGAGCAGCCAACCCCCCUGUCCUCAGCCUGACCCUGGCUCUCCCCGCAGGCCUCUGACAGUGGGAAAGCAGGGAUACACGGGAAGAGAGGCUGUGAUAAAGACACAACUGUCCACCAUGCUUCCCAGGACAGGAGGCGAUGCACAUAGAAGAUUCUGAAAGCCCCAAGUUUCACGAAGUGUAGGAAAGAAUGUGCCUCUCACUGGCUGGCCCAAUUUUAAGCUAAGCAAUCUGGGAACAUCCCUGAUGCUAGAGGAAUCAUGGGUACAGCAGGUACCAGGGGAAUCCAUGAGCACAAAGAAUGCUGGCAUGCCACCAACACUGACAGAACAUCGUGAGGCUGUCUGCCAACAUCUUUUAAUAUUCAAGUGUGCCUGGAGGCCUUUCUGUAAGCUAGCCCCUGUGUACACACGCAGUGCGAUGUGAACUGUUUCCAUCAGGCACUGCAGAACUGGGAAUCCUGUGUGUGUCCCCCAAGCCCUAAGAAGUCACACACUAAGAUGACUUCCCAUAAUGAGAGCAAUAGGAGAUGGCUGGCAAACACCGGGGUGCCCAAGAUGAGCAUGAAGCUACCUUGUGGACUGAAUGCUCGCCAGGCUCCUGUAGGCUGGCCAGGUCACAGCACUGCAGCUGGCAACCACUUCUGUACUUCCAGAGUCUCAGGGUGCCGUCCUGUACAUAGACAGAAGGGUUAGCACGUGGGCUCAAGAGGCCUGUCCCAGAAGCAACAAAGGCUGGGGGAGGGCCGGGGAAACAGGACGCUGAACAUAGCUGGGUGCAGACAGAGCCCCUCUGACAGCUAGGGCUCCCUUAUGAAGAAAACCCUCUCUGUAGAGUACCGCAAGCUAAGCAGUUGUGCCACACCUAAGAAAGCCUCCAGGAUGACAGGCGAGUCAAGACACCUAGCCAUGGCACAGAGGCAAAGGAACCAAGAUGGCCAGCAGCCUACUGAGCAAAGUCCACUCACACCGCCUGCUGUGCCGGGACCAGGCAGGCAAACACACAUCAACUAUGCACACAGCCCUGAAGAAGGGGCCACUUUAAGAGCCUGGAAGACACUCCCUCUAGUGGCCACAAGCAACAGAAACUGGUGGACCUGGCAUCCUAGUUGGGGACAAGGGGCUGGACACUUUCUUUUGCUGUGAGCACCCAGCAGCAAGCAGGGAACUUACCCCGGAGGAAGAAAGCAGCAGCUCAGGAUGACUGGGCACCACAAAGAUGCGGCUCACAAACCUGCGGAGCAAGGCUAAGUCACCCAGAGCAUGGGAGGGAGCCUCGAGCUGCUCAGAAAGGGAGAACACGGUCACCCCUCCCAUACCAGCAGGUACUAAGAACAUGGCUGGGCACGUUUGUGUCCCCGACAUUACAUCUGGACCAAGGGUGGCAGGGCCCAGUUCUGCCAGAGCAUUGUCGCGUGCAGCUCUGCAUGAUGCCUCCAUGCAGGGUCAGUGAGUCUCAGAGGGCAGGGCACCAGAGAAGAGGAAAGCCAUACUACUGAGCACCAGAGAAGUCCCCAAGAGGCCUCUGUGUAGCCAGUCCAUACCAGUGCCCCCAGGAAACCAAUCAGAAACUCCUAGCUGCAAAACCCAACCUAGUUCUGUGGCUUCCAACUGCACAGGACAACAGCAGCCACUAUGCCGCCAGCCGUGCACCUGAGCAAGCACCUGACUCUCCAGGAACCCCACACCUACCCUGCAAUCCUCCUGGCCAGACACAUGCUCUCCAGUGCAGGCAAGAAAGCUGCCCUUCUCCCAGCUCCUUUUAUUUUUUUUAAUGUACAAGUGUCCUGUCUGCAUGUAUUCCUGCAGGUCAGAAGGCAUCAGAUCCCAUUAUAGAUGAUCAUGAGCCACCCCACUAUGUAGUUGCUGGGAACUGAACUUAGGACCUCUGGAAGAGCAGCCAUUGGUCUUAACCGCUGAGCCAUCUCUCUAGCCCCUUCUCCCAGCCCUUAUCAGAGACUUUAUCUUUCUCAAGACCCAGGCCUCCUACCACAAGCUGGUUCACAUAGCUCCCUUCAUCUCCAUUACCUCAAUACCAAGCCAACUGAGCCAGGCCUGGCCUGCAGCUGCCAUCUGAGGGGCCCUGGCUGUAGUCCUAAGCCCUCCAAGAGGAAUAAGCUGUGUGCAUCCCUAAGUCACCCCCAAGUCCUCAGCAGCUAAGAAGGGACCAGUGCACACAAAGCUGAACUAAAAGGCCACGGGGGUUCCCUCCCUGCACUGCAGAAACCCCAAGGGCUAACAGGUACAGUUCAUUCUCAAGUCACUGUACACAAGCGACAGGUUCCUGCAGAAGGUAGAGGGGUAAAGUCCCCAAGGAAGUAGGCAGCACCAACAGAAAAUGACAAAGAGGAGCAAAGGGCUGCCACAUAAACACCAGUUCCACAAACCACAAUGUGACAAGAACCUGAGGCAGGAGUGCACGCCCACUGGAGUGAGGCUCAGCGGAACCCAGCGCAUUCUCUGAGACAACUACAAGCCGCGCUAAGCUGUGGCAAGGUACAAGCUGACUGACAUAGCCUUCUUCAAGGCCAACUUCUGCAUCCCACUGGAGAAGUCAAGAGCCAGCUCAGAACUGAAGUCUUCCAGGCCUCCUUCCCACUGUCUGCAAUAACGUGCUUUCCGUUCAGUGCAGACACACUAAGUGCUGUUCCCUGUGCACCCUGCAAUCAACCUCUGGCCAAAGAGCAGUUUUCUCCACCAAAGAUCACUUGCCAGGAGAGCACAGGCGGAGACCCAGACAUUUAACUCCUCCCGACAGCCUGCAGUUACCAGGGUACACUGGUCCCUGGGCCCGGAAGAGUUUGCAGUGUGGACUGUGGAAACGGGCUGAGCAGCACCAGCCCAGGAGCUAUGCUGGCCCUGGGCUUCCCACAGCUCACAGCCCUGGGUUUCUGCAGCUCUCACAUCUAUGGGAGCCAUGGGCCUGACACGGCCAUCGGAGCCUCCAAGUAUCCCUUAGCAUGAAGCCCCUACCAGUAUACCCAAGCACCAGUGCCCUGGCCCACCCUCAUUUAUUAGACCCGACUUCCUUGUCUGGGGAAGGGGCAGGGUGGCACUUACUCCGUGUGGCCCAGGCAGAAAGCCUCGAUGCUGUGUGGGGCGGCAGCCCAGCUGACCCGGAUCU
Rattus norvegicus (Norway rat) is the source of this 5851-nucleotide long non-coding RNA. RefSeq lists it as uncharacterized. The record is from RefSeq and is a predicted model, not a curated record. Lineage: Eukaryota; Metazoa; Chordata; Mammalia; Rodentia; Muridae.